Molecule: long non-coding RNA, 349 nt
Filed under: Marmota monax (woodchuck)
Lineage: Eukaryota; Metazoa; Chordata; Mammalia; Rodentia; Sciuridae
Source: RNAcentral
AUUCUGCACAUUUCCAGGAGAGAAACUCAGAGAAAAGAUGUGUACUGACAAUUUAAAAAACUAUGCCACAUGUGAGUCAUUAUUCCUUCUUUCCUUCUUGAAGGACAAUCAUUUCAUUGUGUGAUGUGAAUAUUGGACUUUUGUAUCCCAAAAUUUUCUGCCUUUUUUGGUUCCCUAAGAGAACUGGUCCCAAACAUUUCCUAUUCCAAUAAGUGAUACUAGGAAAAAACCACUGACUUCUCUAAACAUUUUCCCUCUGUCCAUUGUUUAGAUGUUCAUUCAUCGGAUCGUUUUACAUUUUCACAUGCAUAGUCUCUUACUAGGAGCCCUGAGGGAGCAGAAAUAAGUC